UACGUAGGGCGCAAGCGUUGUCCGGAAUUAUUGGGCGUAAAGAGCUCGUAGGUGGCGUGUCGCGUCUGCCGUGAAAGCCCAUGGCUUAACUUCGAAACUGCAUUCGAUACUGCCGUGCUUGAGGACUGGAGAGGAGACUGGAAUUUACGGUGUAGCGGUGAAAUGCGUAGAUAUCGUAAGGAAGACCAGUGGCGAAGGCGGGUCUCUGGACAGUUCCUGACGCUGAGGAGCGAAAGCGUGGGGAGCGAACAGG
This 253-nucleotide ribosomal RNA is filed under the name uncultured bacterium. Its description in RNAcentral is "partial 16S ribosomal RNA". It matches the Rfam family "Bacterial small subunit ribosomal RNA", at positions 524 to 776 of the family's 1533-position model. The record is from RNAcentral.